CCUACGGGCGGCUGCAGUCGAGGAUCUUCGGCAAUGGGCGAAAGCCUGACCGAGCGACGCCGCGUGGAGGAUGAAGGCCUUCGGGUUGUAAACUCCUGUCGGAGGGGAAGAAAUUUUGACUAACCCCUCGGAGGAAGCCCGGGCUAAGUUCGUGCCAGCAGCCGCGGUAACACGAACCGGGCAAACGUUAUUCGGAAUUACUGGGCUUAAAGGGUGCGUAGGCUGCACUAUAAGUCGGGUGUGAAAUCCCUCAGCUCAACUGAGGAACUGCGCCCGAUACUGUAGUGCUUGAGGAGGAUAGAGGUGAGCGGAACUAGCAGUGGAGCGGUGAAAUGCGUUGAUAUUGCUGGGAACACCCGUGGCGAAAGCGGCUCACUGGGUCCUUUCUGACGCUGAGGCACGAAAGCUAGGGGAGCGAACGGGAUUAGAUACCCUAGUAGUC
Molecule: ribosomal RNA, 442 nt
Filed under: Weissella confusa
Lineage: Bacteria; Bacillati; Bacillota; Bacilli; Lactobacillales; Lactobacillaceae
Description: bacterial SSU rRNA
Rfam family: Bacterial small subunit ribosomal RNA
Source: RNAcentral